GACGAACGCUGGCGGCGUGCCUAAUGCAUGCAAGUCGAACGCACUGCCUUCGGGCAGUGAGUGGCGCACGGCUGAGGAACACGUGGGAAUCUGCCCGACCGUGGGGGAUAACACGCCGAAAGGCGUGCUAAGCCCGCAUACGCUCGCAAGAGGAAAGCGGCAACGCGCGGUCGGAGGAGCCUGCGGCCCAUCAGGUAGUCGGCGGGGUAACGGCCCACCGAGCCGGUGACGGGUAGCUGGUCUGUGAGGACAGACAGCCAGACUGGGACUGAGACACGGCCCAGACUCCUACGGGAGGCAGCAGCAAGGAAUUUUCGGCAAUGGGCGCAAGCCUGACCGAGCAACGCCGCGUGGAGGACGACGGCCUUCGGGUUGUAAACUCCUUUUACGGGGGACGACAUCGACUGUACCCCGCGAAUCAGGCUCGGCUAACUCUGUGCCAGCAGCCGCGGUAAGACAGAGGAGCCAAGCGUUGUCCGGAUUGACUGGGCGUAAAGCGCACGCAGGCGGCUGGGCACGUGGGGUGUGAAACCUGGCGGCUUAACUGCCAGACGCCAUCCCAUACGGCCCGGCUCGAGGCAGGCAGAGGUUCGUGGAAUUGCCGGUGUAGUGGUGAAAUGCGUAGAGAUCGGCAGGAACACCAAGGGCGAAAGCAGCGAACUGGGCCUGGUCUGACGCUCAGGUGCGAAAGCGUGGGGAGCGAACCGGAUUAGAUACCCGGGUAGUCCACGCCGUAAACGAUGAAUACUCGGCAUCUUUCGACCGAUUUUC
Molecule: ribosomal RNA, 771 nt
Filed under: uncultured bacterium
Lineage: Bacteria
Description: bacterial SSU rRNA
Rfam family: Bacterial small subunit ribosomal RNA
Source: RNAcentral